AGAUUGAACGCUGGCGGCAUGCCUAACACAUGCAAGUCGAACGGCAGCGCGGGUAGCAAUACCUGGCGGCGAGUGGCGGACGGGUGAGGAAUACAUAGGAAUCUACCCUGUCGUGGGGGGAUAACGUAGGGAAACUUACGCUAAUACCGCAUACGACCGAGAGGUGAAAGCGGCGGACCGCAAGGCGUCGCGCGGCUGGAUGAGCCUAUGUCCGAUUAGCUAGUUGGCGGGGUAAGAGCCCACCAAGGCGACGAUCGGUAGCUGGUCUGAGAGGAUGAUCAGCCACACUGGGACUGAGACACGGCCCAGACUCCUACGGGAGGCCAGCAGUGGGGAAUAUUGGACAAUGGGCGCAAGCCUGAUCCAGCAAUGCCGCGUGUGUGAAGAAGGCCGUUCGGUUGUAAAGCACUUUUUGGUAACGGAAGAAAAGCCGUUAGGUUAAUACCCGAUGGUGAUGACGUACGUAAGAAUAGCACCGGCUAACUUCG
RNAcentral lists this ribosomal RNA (488 nucleotides) under uncultured soil bacterium. RNAcentral's name for it is "bacterial SSU rRNA". It matches the Rfam family "Bacterial small subunit ribosomal RNA", at positions 26 to 505 of the family's 1533-position model. The record is from RNAcentral.